GAUGAAGAACGCAGCGAAAUGCGAUAAGUAAUGUGAAUUGCAGAAUUCAGUGAAUCAUCGAAUCUUUGAACGCACCUUGCGCCCUUUGGCUAUUCCGAAGGGCAUGCCUGUUUGAGUAUCAUGAACACCUCAACUCUCAUGGCUUGCCAUGAUGAGCUUGGACUUUUGGGGGUCUUGCUGGCCUGUGGUCAGCUCCUCUCAAAUGAAUUAGCCUGCCAGUGUUUGGUGGCAUCACAGGUGUGAUAACUAUCUACGCUUGUGGUUUUCCACCAGGUAACCUUCAGUGAUGAAGGUUCGCUGGGGCUCAUAAACGUCUCUCCUCAGUGAGGACAGCUCUUUGAACGUUUGAUCUCAAAUCAGGUAGGACUACCCGCUAAACUUAAGCAUAUCAAUAAGCGGAGGA
Molecule: unclassified non-coding RNA, 403 nt
Filed under: soil metagenome
Description: partial contains 5.8S ribosomal RNA, internal transcribed spacer 2, and large subunit ribosomal RNA
Rfam family: 5.8S ribosomal RNA (bases 1-121)
Source: RNAcentral